CGGAUCACCUUCUUCGGGUACUUGUAGAUGCCGGCGACGAGGCAGUGGCCGUAGGGGCGGUCGCGGCUGCUGCCCUCAUCGAAGUUCCGGACGAUGACGGCCUUCCGGCCGGCGAAUCGGCCCUGGAGGAUGAUCACCGCCUUGUUGGGUUUCAGAAACUUGACCAUUUUGGUGGGUGGGGUUGAUCUGCUCCGGCGGCGGCGAUGG
This 207-nucleotide unclassified non-coding RNA is filed under the name Hevea brasiliensis (rubber tree). Lineage: Eukaryota; Viridiplantae; Streptophyta; Magnoliopsida; Malpighiales; Euphorbiaceae. The record is from RNAcentral.